This 492-nucleotide ribosomal RNA is filed under the name uncultured bacterium. RNAcentral's name for it is "partial 16S ribosomal RNA". It matches the Rfam family "Bacterial small subunit ribosomal RNA", at positions 29 to 507 of the family's 1533-position model. The record is from RNAcentral.
AGUGAACGCUGGCGGUAGGCCUAACACAUGCAAGUCGAACGGCAGCACAGUAAGAGCUUGCUCUUACGGGUGGCGAGUGGCGGACGGGUGAGGAAUACAUCGGAAUCUACUUUUUCGUGGGGGAUAACGUAGGGAAACUUACGCUAAUACCGCAUACGACCUACGGGUGAAAGCAGGGGAUCUUCGGACCUUGCGCGAUUGAAUGAGCCGAUGUCGGAUUAGCUAGUUGGCGGGGUAAAGGCCCACCAAGGCGACGAUCCGUAGCUGGUCUGAGAGGAUGAUCAGCCACACUGGAACUGAGGCACGGUCCAGACUCCUACGGGGAGCAGCAGUGGGGAAUAUUGGACGAUGGGCGCGAGCCUGAUCCAGCCAUACCGCGUGGGUGAAGAAGGCCUUCGGGUUGUAAAGCCCUUUUGUUGGGAGAGAAAAGCAGCAGGUUAAUACCCCGCUGUUCUGACGGUACCCAAAGAAUAAGCACCGGCUAACUUCGUG